Molecule: long non-coding RNA, 898 nt
Filed under: Lupinus angustifolius (narrow-leaved blue lupine)
Lineage: Eukaryota; Viridiplantae; Streptophyta; Magnoliopsida; Fabales; Fabaceae
Description: long non-coding RNA (LANG_LNC002617)
Source: RNAcentral
GCCAACAUGUAAUACUGGAAACCCAUAGCUAUUGACUCCACUGUUAACAGUUCAAAAUAUAGAUAUCAUUAUUAGUUUCAGGAAAACCAAAAUGGAUAUUAAACAAAAAAAUGAAAUAAAAAAAUGCAAGUUGAAAAAGGACUAAAUUUUAACAUAACCUAAGAUGGUUUCGAAACUUUACAAAACUUUAAGCCUUGAAGUUGGUCUAUUGGUAUGUGAUUUAUAUCCUCUAUCUCUUGGAGCUUUCAUGACCUCUAUGACACUUUGUAACUCUUCGUUUGCUUCUAAACCUUAAUGUUGAGGAAGAAUAAGUAAAAAAGUAAUAGGAUGAGAGAAAGUUAGUAAAAAUAUAGAAACUCUGGAUAUAUGUACACAAAAAAAGGACUCAUUGAAAUGCAGUAAAUAAGGUUCACUGAUUUAGAUAAUGAAAAUGUAAUGUCUAACUAAAAAUGCACAAAAUAUGCUUGAUUGAUAAAAAAGUGAUAAAAAUGAUUAAUUUUUAAUAAAUAAGUUAGAUAAUGAGCAUGCAUAUCCAAAAUAACAUAAAAAAUUAACAUGCAAAAGUUAGAAUGGAGGAAGUAAGGAAAAUAUUGAACUACAAAUAAUAUUUUCAGUUGUUAUACAUUGCAAUCCUUUUUUCUAUAGCAAUCAUUCAAAUAAAAACUUCAAAAGUUGUAUCAAAUACAUGACAAAUUUACAAAGACAUUGUUAAGGCAAUAGAACAUUUGAAAAGACAUUGACUGAUGACACCAAUUUUAUACCAUAAAUUAUCUACAAAACACUUUUUCCAUGGAAUGGAGUCAAGUUUUCCAUCUAGGUGUCAUAUUGUGUUUGUUGAAUAGGAGAUGAUAAUUAAAGGAGAGCAAUUAAACUAUUAAAGUUUAUUUAGUAAGAAAAU